Molecule: transfer RNA, 96 nt
Filed under: Streptomyces olivaceus
Lineage: Bacteria; Bacillati; Actinomycetota; Actinomycetes; Kitasatosporales; Streptomycetaceae
Description: tRNA-Pro
Source: RNAcentral
GGACGCCCGCCCCGGUGGCGGGGCGGGCGUCCGGGACGUGCGGUGGGUCAGGCGGAGACGGGCCCCUCGUCGGGUCCCGGGUCGGCGGCGUCCGCC